UUUUAAAAGUCUUUUAAUUCUUCACCACAAAAGGGAGUGAACAUAUUCCUGGGAUGUGGAAUGUAUUACGCUCAAGUUUUUUCCUGGAAGAGCCCAAGUUUGGAGAUAAAAAGUGAAGACUUUAAGAGCCCAGGCUCUAGAGUCUAUUUUGGAGUAGCAUCCUUGGCUUUUUGGUUCACUAACUAUAUCACCUAGGCCCCAGGACGCCUGCUGCCCCCAGCGUCCCGCAGCGUGACUGGUUAGUGUUACAGCACAGACAGGUCCUGCAGACCGAGGACCCGAGCUGUCUUCAGUGCUGCCGAGCAAGUGCUUCCUUACACACAUGAAGGUUACCUAAUGGUUGUGCCCUCCUGUGCUUGUGUAUUUGUUUGUUGAACCAUAUUUUGUGAUCAGAGGUUCUUAACCUGAGCUCCAGUGAGCCAAGAGCACUUGAAGCUCAAAAUGGUAGACAAAAUUUUGUACCCUUGGAAAUGUUGAUUUUUAUUAAGGGAAGA
This is a non-coding RNA of Manis javanica (Malayan pangolin), 494 nucleotides long. NCBI's taxonomy places the organism in Eukaryota, Metazoa, Chordata, Mammalia, Pholidota, Manidae. The record is from RefSeq and is a predicted model, not a curated record.